GGGCAGUGAUGCUUCGGCAUAUCAGCCC
This 28-nucleotide unclassified non-coding RNA is filed under the name synthetic construct. The record is from RNAcentral.